UACGAAAGGGGGUAGCGUUGUUCGGAAUUACUGGGCGUAAAGCGCACGUAGGCGGCCUGCCAAGUUAGGGGUGAAAUCCCGGGGCUCAACCCCGGAAUUGCCUUUAAGACUGGCAAGCUCGAGGCUGUGAGAGGUGAGUGGAAUUCCGAGUGUAGAGGUGAAAUUCGUAGAUAUUCGGAAGAACACCGGUGGCGAAGGCGACUCACUGGCACAGUACUGACGCUGAGGUGCUAACGCGUGGGGAGCAUACAGG
Molecule: ribosomal RNA, 253 nt
Filed under: uncultured bacterium
Lineage: Bacteria
Description: partial 16S ribosomal RNA
Rfam family: Bacterial small subunit ribosomal RNA
Source: RNAcentral